RNAcentral lists this ribosomal RNA (400 nucleotides) under uncultured bacterium. RNAcentral describes it as "bacterial SSU rRNA". It matches the Rfam family "Bacterial small subunit ribosomal RNA", at positions 355 to 772 of the family's 1533-position model. The record is from RNAcentral.
UGGGGAAUAUUGGACAAUGGGCGCAAGCCUGAUCCAGCCAUGCCGCGUGAGUGAUGAAGGCCUUAGGGUUGUAAAGCUCUUUUGUACGGGAAGAUAAUGACGGUAGCCGUAGAAGAAGCCCCGGCUAACUUCGUGCCAGCAGCCGCGGUAAUACGAAGGGGGCUAGCGUUGUUCGGAAUUACUGGGCGUAAAGCGCGCGUAGGCGGACAUUUAAGUCAGGGGUGAAAUCCCGGGGCUCAACCCCGGAACUGCCUUUGAUACUGGGUGUCUAGAGUCCGGAAGAGGUGAGUGGAAUUGCGAGUGUAGAGGUGAAAUUCGUAGAUACUCGCAGGAACACCAGUGGCGAAGGCGGCUCACUGGUCCGGUACUGACGCUGAGGUGCGAAAGCGUGGGGAGCAAA